RNAcentral lists this ribosomal RNA (754 nucleotides) under uncultured bacterium. RNAcentral describes it as "bacterial SSU rRNA". It matches the Rfam family "Bacterial small subunit ribosomal RNA", at positions 43 to 801 of the family's 1533-position model. The record is from RNAcentral.
CAUGCCUUACACAUGCAAGUCGAACGGUAACAGGUUAAGCUGACGAGUGGCGAACGGGUGAGUAAUAUAUCGGAACGUGCCCAGUUGUGGGGGAUAACUACCCGAAAGAGUGGCUAAUACCGCAUGAGACCUGAGGGUGAAAGCGGGGGAUCGCAAGACCUCGCGCAAUUGGAGCGGCCGAUAUCAGAUUAGCUAGUUGGCGGGGUAAAAGCCCACCAAGGCGACGAUCUGUAGCUGGUCUGAGAGGACGACCAGCCACACUGGGGCUGAGACACGGCCCAGACUCCUACGGGAGGCAGCAGUGGGGAAUUUUGGACAAUGGACGCAAGUCUGAUCCAGCCAUGCCGCGUGCGGGAAGAAGGCCUUCGGGUUGUAAACCGCUUUUGUCAGGGAAGAAACGGGUUUCUCUAAUACAGAGACCUAAUGACGGUACCUGAAGAAUAAGCACCGGCUAACUCCGUGCCAGCAGCCGCGGUAAUACGGAGGGUGCGAGCGUUAAUCGGAAUUACUGGGCGUAAAGCGUGCGUAGGCGGUUCGUUAAGUCAGAUGUGAAAGCCCUGGGCUCAACCUGGGAACUGCAUUUGAAACUGGCGGACUAGAGUUUAGUAGAGGGGAGUGGAAUUUCAGUGUAGCGGUGAAAUGCGUAGAUAUCUGAAGGAACACCAGUGGCGAAAGCGACUCCCUGGACUAGAACUGACGCUGAGGUACGAAAGCGUGGGUAGCAACAGGAUUAGAUACCCUGGUAGUCCACGCC